GGGAGUGAAAUAGAACCUGAAACCCUGCACUUACAAGCUGUGGAAGCACAUUUCUUGUGUGACCGCGUACUUUUUGUAGAACGGGCCAACGAGUUACGUUAAGUAGCAAGGUUAAGCACUUAAGGUGCGGAGCCGUAGCGAAAGCGAGUUUUAACUGAGCGUUCAGGUACUGGACGUAGACCCGAAACCGGGCGACCUACCCAUGAGCAGGAUGAAGCGAAAGUAAAAUUUCGUGGAGGUCCGAACCCACGGGCGUUGAAAAGCUCGGGGAUGACUUGUGGGUAGCGGUGAAAUUCCAAUCGAGCCCGGAGAUAGCUGGUUCUCCCCGAAAUAGCUUUAGGGCUAGCCUCAAGGUGAGAGAUACGGAGGUAGAGCACUGAAUGUCCUAGGGGGUAUUGCACCUACCGAAGACUAUCAAACUCCGAAU
RNAcentral lists this ribosomal RNA (427 nucleotides) under Clostridioides difficile. Its description in RNAcentral is "bacterial LSU rRNA". It matches the Rfam family "Bacterial large subunit ribosomal RNA", at positions 534 to 961 of the family's 2925-position model. Lineage: Bacteria; Bacillati; Bacillota; Clostridia; Peptostreptococcales; Peptostreptococcaceae. The record is from RNAcentral.